GGGGUGUGACUGCGUACCUUUUGUAUAAUGGGUCAGCGACUUAUAUUCUGUAGCAAGGUUAACCGUAUAGGGGAGCCGGAGGGAAACCGAGUCUUAACCGGGCGUUAAGUUGCAGGGUAUAGACCCGAAACCCGGUGAUCUAGCCAUGGGCAGGUUGAAGGUUGGGUAACACUAACUGGAGGACCGAACCGACUAAUGUUGAAAAAUUAGCGGAUGACCUGUGGCUGGGGGUGAAAGGCCAAUCAAACCGGGAGAUAGCUGGUUCUCCCCGAAAGCUAUUUAGGUAGCGCCUCGUGAAUUCAUCUCCGGGGGUAGAGCACUGUUUCGGCUAGGGGGCCAUCCCGGCUUACCAACCCGAUGCAAACUGCGAAUACCGGAGAAUGUUAUCACGGGAGACACACGGCGGGUGCUAACGUCCGUCGUGAAGAGGGAAACAACCCAGACCGCCAGCUAAGGUCCCAAAGUCAUGGUUAAGUGGGAAACGAUGUGGGAAGGCCCAGACAGCCAGGAUGUUGGCUUAGAAGCAGCCAUCAUUUAAAGAAAGCGUAAUAGCUCACUGGUCGAGUCGGCCUGCGCGGAAGAUGUAACGGGGCUAAACCAUG
RNAcentral lists this ribosomal RNA (602 nucleotides) under Salmonella enterica. Its description in RNAcentral is "partial 23S ribosomal RNA". It matches the Rfam family "Bacterial large subunit ribosomal RNA", at positions 588 to 1191 of the family's 2925-position model. The record is from RNAcentral. Lineage: Bacteria; Pseudomonadati; Pseudomonadota; Gammaproteobacteria; Enterobacterales; Enterobacteriaceae. RNAcentral also lists the same sequence under 1 other name.